Molecule: ribosomal RNA, 253 nt
Filed under: uncultured bacterium
Lineage: Bacteria
Description: partial 16S ribosomal RNA
Rfam family: Bacterial small subunit ribosomal RNA
Source: RNAcentral
UACGUAGGGGGCUAGCGUUGUCCGGAAUCAUUGGGCGUAAAGAGCGUGUAGGCGGCCCGGUAAGUCCGCUGUGAAAGUCGGGGGCUCAACCCUCGAAUGCCGGUGGAUACUGUCGGGCUAGAGUGCGGUAGAGGCGAGUGGAAUUCCUGGUGUAGCGGUGAAAUGCGCAGAUAUCAGGAGGAACACCAAUUGCGAAGGCAGCUCGCUGGGACGUAACUGACGCUGAGACGCGAAAGCGUGGGGAGCAAACAGG